AGCCACUGACUAACGCACAUUGUGCUGCUAAUGUCCCCACUGUGCGUGUGACAGCGGCUAA
This 61-nucleotide microRNA precursor is filed under the name Python bivittatus (Burmese python). RNAcentral describes it as "Pbv-Mir-210_pre stem-loop". It matches the Rfam family "mir-210 microRNA precursor family", at positions 15 to 74 of the family's 96-position model. The record is from RNAcentral. Lineage: Eukaryota; Metazoa; Chordata; Lepidosauria; Squamata; Pythonidae.